RNAcentral lists this ribosomal RNA (253 nucleotides) under uncultured bacterium. Its description in RNAcentral is "partial 16S ribosomal RNA". It matches the Rfam family "Bacterial small subunit ribosomal RNA", at positions 524 to 776 of the family's 1533-position model. The record is from RNAcentral.
UACGAGAGGCCCAAACGUUAUUCGGAUUUACUGGGCGUAAAGGGCUCGUAGGCGGCCAACUAAGUCGGACGUGAAAUCCCUCAGCUUAACUGGGGAACUGCGUCCGAUACUGGAUGGCUUGGAUUUGGGAGAGGGAUGCGGAAUUCCAGGUGUAGCGGUGAAAUGCGUAGAUAUCAGGAGGAACACCGGUGGUGUAGACGGCUCACUGGACCAUAACUGACGCUGAGACACGAAAGCGUGGGUAGCAAACAGG